AUCCUUUCUUGGCCUUUUAGCUAAAAUCAAGCAUAGUACCCAUUCUUGUCAGUUUUAUGCCACACAUAUCUUCAGUAUGAGGACAUGAUGUUAAAUGAGUGUGGGAAGUGGGAGGUGGAUGUGGAGCUUGCUCUAUGCCUGGACCAACAAUGCGGGGCCCCAG
This 163-nucleotide small nuclear RNA is filed under the name Egretta garzetta (little egret). RNAcentral describes it as "U2 spliceosomal RNA". It matches the Rfam family "U2 spliceosomal RNA". From Rfam's summary of the family: U2 is a small nuclear RNA (snRNA) component of the spliceosome (involved in pre-mRNA splicing). Complementary binding between U2 snRNA (in an area lying towards the 5' end but 3' to hairpin I) and the branchpoint sequence (BPS) of the intron results the bulging out of an unpaired adenosine, on the BPS, which initiates a nucleophilic attack at the intronic 5' splice site, thus starting the first of two transesterification reactions that mediate splicing. The record is from Rfam by way of RNAcentral. Lineage: Eukaryota; Metazoa; Chordata; Aves; Pelecaniformes; Ardeidae.